This 694-nucleotide ribosomal RNA is filed under the name uncultured bacterium. Its description in RNAcentral is "bacterial SSU rRNA". It matches the Rfam family "Bacterial small subunit ribosomal RNA", at positions 32 to 715 of the family's 1533-position model. The record is from RNAcentral.
AACGCUAGCUACAGGCUUAACACAUGCAAGUCGAGGGGCAGCAUGAGCUUAGCUUGCUAAGCUUGAUGGCGACCGGCGCACGGGUGAGUAACACGUAUCCAACCUCCCGCUUACUCAGGAAUAGCCUUUCGAAAGAAAGAUUAAUGCCUGAUGGUAUCUUAAGCACACAUGUAAUUAAGAUUAAAGAUUUAUCGGUAAGUGAUGGGGAUGCGUUCCAUUAGGUAGUAGGCGGGGUAACGGCCCACCUAGCCGACGAUGGAUAGGGGUUCUGAGAGGAAGGUCCCCCACAUUGGAACUGAGACACGGUCCAAACUCCUACGGGAGGCAGCAGUGAGGAAUAUUGGUCAAUGGGCGCGAGCCUGAACCAGCCAAGUAGCGUGAAGGAUGAAGGUCCUAUGGAUUGUAAACUUCUUUUAUACGGGAAUAAAGUGGUCCACGUGUGGGCUUUUGCAUGUACCGUAUGAAUAAGCAUCGGCUAACUCCGUGCCAGCAGCCGCGGUAAUACGGAGGAUGCGAGCGUUAUCCGGAUUUAUUGGGUUUAAAGGGAGCGUAGACGGGGGAUUAAGUCAGUUGUGAAAGUUUGCGGCUCAACCGUAAAAUUGCAGUUGAUACUGGUUCCCUUGAGUGCAGUUGAGGCAGGCGGAAUUCGUGGUGUAGCGGUGAAAUGCAUAGAUAUCACGAAGAACUCCGAUUG